Molecule: non-coding RNA, 2995 nt
Organism: Benincasa hispida (wax gourd)
Lineage: Eukaryota; Viridiplantae; Streptophyta; Magnoliopsida; Cucurbitales; Cucurbitaceae
Source: RefSeq, a predicted model, not a curated record
UUCAAACAAAGCCUCUCUCUCCCUUUCAUUCUCUCUUGCCAAACCCUCUCUUCUCCAAAUCUUCUUUCUCCCUUUCACUCUCUCUUACCAAACCCUUUCUUCUCCAACAAUGUAGAGUCUGAUCUUCAACAACGGAUCUUUGAUUUUGUGGGCGUUGUCAUUGUCGUGGGUCUCUGUCCAGCGUCCGGUGUCUCUUUUCGUUCGAUGUUCGUUCGCUGUCGACCAAAUCCACUUCUCCGCCGUGUCGUCGACCAAAUCGACCAGACCUGUUUUUUCUCCAUCGACCAAAUCCACUUCUCCGUCGUGUCGUCGACUAAAUCGACCAAAUCUGUCCGUGUUAUCGACCAAAUCGACCAAAUCCACUUCUCCACCGGACAUUUUUCUUUUCUCAGUUCCACCGACCACCCUAUAGGAUGCAUUUGAAAUCAAUUUCUCAUGCCCUUACGGCAUGCGCGAACAGAGAAUGGGUGCUAUAGUUGGGCAAGAUUGUGCACUUCUAGAAGAGGUUUGUGGAUGGAUUAAUGCAAAAGCUACAAUCCCUAUUUGGGCAAAAAUGACCCCCAACAUCACUGACAUUUCACAGGUAUUUUUGCCCCUCCUACAUUUGGAAGAUCACAUUAUCCUUAGAAUUAUGUUUGUCAAGUUAUGGGACAAAUUCUUUUACUGAUGAUGAUAGUUGAUGAUUAUAUGAUAUAUAUGGUACAACUCCAAAACAAACUUUGCACCUACAUAACUUUUAUGCUUUUUUUUAGUCCAAAUCCACUUCUCCGUCAGACAUUUUUCCUUUCUUAGUUCCACCGACCACCCUACAGGUAAACUUUGAAUACUUAUGCACGUUAUUCCAUAUAAAAGGAGAAUCACACGUUAUAUGAAAAUUUAACGUGGAGUUGUAAACUGCUUGGGAAGAACUUAUCGAUCGAGUCGAAAAAACUGGAGUUAUAAGAUCACUGUUUAUGACUUCUUUACUGUGUUAAAUACCAAGAAUAUGUUCAUUUCGUCCAAUAUUUACAUCUCGUUCAUCAGGAUGUAUUUGAAAUCAAUUUCUCAUGCCCUUAUGGCAUGCCCGAACGAAGAAUGGGUGUUGCAGUUGGGCAAGAUUGUGCACUUCUGGAAGAGGUUUGUGGAUGGAUUAAUGCAAAAGCUACAAUCCUUGUUUGGGCAAAAAUAACAAACUUUGCACCUGCAUAACUUUUAUGCUUUUUUUAGUACAAUAAGGGGAGGGGUGGGGGGAUUCGAACCAUGGACCUCAUGGUCAUUAACACACCUUAGAUGCCAGUUGAACUGUUCUCACUUUUGCACAUAACUUAUAUGUUGGAAGAAGCAUUUUUUAUAAUUAAAUCAGAUUCGACAUUUAUGAAUAAUUAUAAUGAAAUCUGUUCUAUGGUUGUAGCUUUGGGAAUAACUUGGAUAACUGUGCAUAUAAACUAAAUUCAGAUGUUGGAAGAAGCAAACGUUUUCCUAUUUGAAUAGCAUGAAGAAAAUGAAAUAUGUUCUAUGGUUGCAUGUACUGAUGCAAUUGAUGAAUUUGCUCCUCUUUUUGUAUGGUAUUAAUUGAAUUGAAUUUUCAUGUAACGUGUGACACUACAGGUAAACCUUUUUAUUCCAGGUCGUAUUUGUAUACCCAUCGACCCUGAACACUGAUGAGUUUUAUCCUACCAUCGUGCUAACUGUUGCCUAGGUAAAACAACAAGAAAUAAAGGCAUAUAGCAUAAAUAUUAUACUUUUCCUACUGAUUUUCAGUGAGGAAAAUGUUUAAUUUUCAUACAUAAUAUAUAACAAUUGUUCCAUUUUGGCUUCUGAGCAAUAAGUUGAAUUAUAAUGAUGUAUUGCAGCUCCUAGGAGAACUUAAAUGUAGUAGACAUAGAAGUAGAUGGUGAGACUGGUACGUGAUAUUCAAUCUUUACUAUAGAUUCGUGAGACUCCUGCUUUAUUUGCUAGGGUAGCUACGUUAGGAUAACAGAAUAUUGUGAUUAACCAAUGUCAUUAUAAUCUUUUGCUAGGGUAGCUACGUUAGGAUAACAGAAUAUUGUGAUUAACCAAUGUCAUUAUAAUCUUUUGCUUUAUGACAGACUGGGAUAGGAUAACUGAAUACAAAUUGUGAUAUUUGUUUGGAUUGAUGGAAUUUUGAACUUUGUUGAGUUUUUGUUUUUUGGCUUUUCAUUUCAUUGAUAGGAACUUAGUCCAUGAAUAUGGAGAUAUAAGAUCGAAUGCCUAUGUGACAACUUCUGAGAUUUGAAGUCAAGUGAGUAAUCAGAUCUGAGUUUUUGUAAAUCAUUGUUGUUUAUAUUGUUUGUUAUGUUGAGAGAAGAUUGUUGUUCGAAUAUUGUUGGAAGUGCAUUCUUUGUGCAGGUGUUAAAGUAAAAUUUUUUUGUAUUGUUGUGGUAGUGUUGUCAUGUUGUUGAAAUUUUCCUAAAACAUAAGAGUUAUAGAGUUAGUUGUAGGUUAAAAUAUGGUAAUGUUCCUUAGUUUAGCAUUGAAAUUUGGGAUCAUUACAAUAACUAUUGUGCAGCUAUGGUAGUUGUUUAUGGGUUGAGUUCAUUUCUUUCGUUAUUUAUAAAUUGCUUAUACUAAUGCAACUUAUAUUUGUUUGUUUAUACACUUUCAAAUGACAUUGCUCACACAAGUAUAGGGAAGUUCUGGAUGGAGGGCAUAACAAACUCAUCCAUAGAAUAGAGAAAAGAAUAGCAAGUUUUGCAUUCAUUCCUUUAGAUUUUUUGGGAUAGUAAUGACACUCAAAAGUAGACAACCAGCUCUCUCAAUCUUUAGUUAAAUUUUUGUAUCUUUUGAAAGUCAAGUUGUAUAUACAAAAGCAAUUAAGAUUUUAUUUUGGGAUGAUUUUGAUAUGUAAGAAGUCAACUAGUGCUUUGUAUGUAUAAAUUUUGCUAUUCUCUUUGGGAGCUAACUGUUAUUCGUACUUUGUGAGCAAGACUUAGAUUUAAAUUUUUGUGUUUGUUGAGAUAUUAAUAUAUAAAAACAAUUCUUGUUUGUGGAUAAA